GCUGCGGUAGCUCAAUUGGUAGAGCAUUGUACGCAAGAUGCGAAGGUUGUGGGAUCGUUCCCCACCUGCGGCA
RNAcentral lists this transfer RNA (73 nucleotides) under Dermacentor andersoni. RNAcentral describes it as "transfer RNA leucine (anticodon CAA)". It matches the Rfam family "tRNA". Rfam says of the family: Transfer RNA (tRNA) molecules are approximately 80 nucleotides in length. Their secondary structure includes four short double-helical elements and three loops (D, anti-codon, and T loops). The record is from RNAcentral. Lineage: Eukaryota; Metazoa; Arthropoda; Arachnida; Ixodida; Ixodidae.